GAUGAACGCUGGCGGCGUGCCUAAUACAUGCAAGUAGAACGCUGAAGCUUGGUGCUUGCACCGAGCGGAUGAGUUGCGAACGGGUGAGUAACGCGUAGGUAACCUGCCUCUUAGCGGGGGAUAACUAUUGGAAACGAUAGCUAAUACCGCAUAAAAGUCGAUACCGCAUGAUAUUGAUUUGAAAGGUGCAAAUGCAUCACUAAGAGAUGGACCUGCGUUGUAUUAGCUAGUUGGUGAGGUAACGGCUCACCAAGGCGACGAUACAUAGCCGACCUGAGAGGGUGAUCGGCCACACUGGGACUGAGACACGGCCCAGACUCCUACGGGAGGCAGCAGUAGGGAAUCUUCGGCAAUGGGGGCAACCCUGACCGAGCAACGCCGCGUGAGUGAAGAAGGUUUUCGGAUCGUAAAGCUCUGUUGUAAGAGAAGAACGAGUGUGAGAGUGGAAAGUUCACACUGUGACGGUAACUUACCAGAAAGGGACGGCUAACUACGUG
RNAcentral lists this ribosomal RNA (497 nucleotides) under uncultured bacterium. RNAcentral describes it as "partial 16S ribosomal RNA". It matches the Rfam family "Bacterial small subunit ribosomal RNA", at positions 28 to 507 of the family's 1533-position model. The record is from RNAcentral.